GUUAUAAGCCAAAAUAUGCAUUUUUCAUAUCUCCUGACCACUAGGUGGCGCUGUGUCGAAACACUGCAGGUAGUCUCAGUUCAUGCUUGUUAUAACACACGCCAAGUUUGGUCUCAAUAUGACAAACCGUUGCCGGGAUAUAGCCUCACGUGCAUGUUUGCAUGCUUUUCGUCAAAUUUGUUUACGUGUCAUUCGACAACAGUUGGACGAAUCAACUUGAAUUCCAUAACUUUUUGCCCGGCAUGGUCUGAAGAUGAUCUGAGCCAAUUUUCGUGGAAAUCGGACUAACCGUCUAGGACGAGUUCGAAAAAGUAGGUUUUUCGAAUAAUUGAAAAUAGCGAAAAAACUAAACCUUGCGAUUUUUGAAUUUUAGGGUUCAUUCGACUUGGCCUGAGCCAAGGAUUCAGAGGAAAAAAGAAUUUCCAUUUUCUGGCUUACGGUUCAAAAGUUAUUAGCAUACAAACAUUGAAAGUUUGGACAAGUGGUGGCGCUAGAGAGUAGGAGUUAGAGGCUUCAAAUUUGCUAUAGUUAAUGUUGGGACUGUCCUCUAUCAGUGUGCCAAAUUAUACAACUUUCCCGCAAACGGUUCUAUGGGCUGCCAUAGACUUGCGGCGGAAGAAGAAGAAGAAGAAUAAUAAAUAUAGCUGCAAGCAGCAAUUACGGGGCCAAGCACUCCAACGGCAAAUGUAGUAGCUAAGCAUCGCAUAAUGCAUCACACCAAAUACAUUAAUGAGCAAUAACAGCAAUUUUGGAAUUAUUGUAUUUGAAAUGGCAAAAAAAAAAAAAAAAACACCAAUACCACCUCUAGUAGCAUGAUUACUUGGUUUAUCAAGCUUGACCAAUAGGUGACACUGUUAUAAAAUCAAUUUGGUGUACUCUGUGUGUCUUUUCAAUGACACACACAAAGUUUGGUGUCAAUAUGCCAAAGCAUUCCAGGGAUACAGCCUCAAGUGUCAUUUUCUCAUUGUGCCUCAAAUUCGUCGAUGUGGUAUGCGAAAACGGUUUUGUCUAUCGACUCAAAAUCCAUAACUUUGAAUCAGUAUAGCCUGAAGAUCAUUUGAUUCGAAUUUGGUGAAAAUCGGACAUACGGUUGAUCAGGAGUUCGAAAAAGUAUGUUUUCAACAUAAAUCAAAAUGGCGGACCGGAAGUUCAGCUUACCGUGGUAUAUUUGGUAUCUAUGUUAUCGGCAUAAGCCAGGGAAUAUUUUGAGCCCAGUUUCCUUCAAAUAGGCUAAUGCAUUAACAAGUUAAUAGCAUUUUAAAAAGUGUAAUUACUCAUGGUUAAUGAAUGGUUUAUUACUCUUGACCAAUAGGUGGCGCUGUUACCAAAUUUAUGUGGCAUGGUCAGUGUGAGGUGGCGAUGACACAUACAAAAUUUGGUGCAAAUAUGUCAAAGUGUUGCAGAGAUACAGCCUCAAAUGCAUUUUGGCACCCUUCCAGCAAAUUCGUUGAUGCGCUAAAUGAGAACCGUUUCGUAUAUCGACACGAAAUCCAUAACUUUUUGCCAGCAUGGUCUGAAGAUGAUUCACGUCAAAUUUGGUGAAAAUUGGACUAACGGUCUAGGAGGAGUUUGAAAAAGUAGGUUUUCAACAUUAAGCAAAAUGGCGGACAGGAAGUAAGGCCAAUUUUCACAUAAUUGGUAUCAAUGCUCUCGGCAUGACCCACAGAAUAUAGCGAGAUCAUUUUAAUUUUAAUAGUCUAAUUUAUUCAAAAGUUAUUAGCAUUUAUGUGAUAUUUCAUUAUAACUAUUGGCCACAAGGUGGCGCUGCCACCAAACUUUUUGAGUACCUUCAGGGCAUGGAGCCG
Molecule: long non-coding RNA, 1805 nt
Organism: Carassius gibelio (silver crucian carp)
Lineage: Eukaryota; Metazoa; Chordata; Actinopteri; Cypriniformes; Cyprinidae
Exons: 4
Source: RefSeq, a predicted model, not a curated record